UGGGGGAUAUUGCACAAUGGGCGAAAGCCUGAUGCAGCGACGCCGCGUGGGGGAUGAAGGCCUUCGGGUUGUAAACUUCUUUUGCUCUGAACAAGGCGCACCAUGGGGUGUGUUGAGUGUAGGGGUUGAUUAGCGCCGGCUAACUACGUGCCAGCAGCCGCGGUAAUACGUAGUGCUCGAGCGUUGUCCGGAAUUAUUGGGCGUAACGGGCUUGUAGGUGGCUGGUUGCGUCUGUCGUGAAAGCUCAUGGCUUAACUGUGGGUUUGCGGUGGGUACGGGCUAGCUUACGUGCCGUAGGCGAGGCUUGAAUUGCUGGUUUAGCGGGUGAAUGCGCAGAUAUCAGGAGGGAUACCGGUGGCGAAGGCGGGUCUCUGGGCUGUUACUGACACUGAGGAGCGAAAGCAUGGGGAGCGAACAGG
RNAcentral lists this ribosomal RNA (419 nucleotides) under bacterium. Its description in RNAcentral is "partial 16S ribosomal RNA". It matches the Rfam family "Bacterial small subunit ribosomal RNA", at positions 355 to 776 of the family's 1533-position model. The record is from RNAcentral.